RNAcentral lists this ribosomal RNA (327 nucleotides) under uncultured eukaryote. RNAcentral's name for it is "partial 18S ribosomal RNA". It matches the Rfam family "Eukaryotic small subunit ribosomal RNA", at positions 1470 to 1796 of the family's 1831-position model. The record is from RNAcentral.
CCCUUAGAUGUUCUGGGCCGCACGCGCGCUACACUGACGAAUGCAACGAGCUUAUAACCUUGGCCGAAAGGUCUGGGUAAUCUCCAAAUUUCGUCGUGAUGGGGAUAGAUUAUUGCAAUUAUUAAUCUUCAACGAGGAAUGCCUAGUAAGCGCAAGUCAUCAGCUUUCGUUGAUUACGUCCCUGCCCUUUGUACACACCGCCCGUCGCUCCUACCGAUUGAAUGGUCCGGUGAAGCGUUCGGACCGUGGCCUUUGGACGGUUCGCCGUCUGUUGGCUGCGGGAAGUUCGUUAAACCUUAUCAUUUAGAGGAAGGAGAANUCGUANCA